RNAcentral lists this unclassified non-coding RNA (367 nucleotides) under Hevea brasiliensis (rubber tree). The stretch from base 32 to 137 matches the Rfam family "Small nucleolar RNA snoR100". Lineage: Eukaryota; Viridiplantae; Streptophyta; Magnoliopsida; Malpighiales; Euphorbiaceae. The record is from RNAcentral.
UACAAUAAGCCGAUGCUCUGGAUUCGAAAGAAAAAGAAGGAAGCAUGGUAAUGUGCACAGAAAUUGAAUCGUUGGGUGAACAUGUCUGCUCCCUCUGAUGUGUCUUUGAUGAGGGGGCCUGGUUUCGACCCACAUUUUUUCUUUUUCUUUUAUUUUCUGCUUCUGGGAUUUGUUUUUCAAAAGUAAAUUAUUAGUAUAUUUAAUUUUUUUUUAGAAUUAAUCAAUCUUAGUUUAAUGGUAACAUUGUCUUCUGAGAUCUCAAAAGUUGUAUAAUUGUGUGUGAAUUUGCUUAUGAGACAUUUUGAAAGAAGGUAUUAUUAUUUAAAAUUCAUAAUUUGUUGGUAAUUUAUAUUAAAAUUAAACUCAG